AAUCAAAUGCCUAAAGCAUGUUCACGCAUCAUGUUUAUAUGUAAUAGGUUGAUUGCACUAGUUACACGAAUAUGACGCAUUGCAUUAUUUAUUGUUGAUGUGGAUGGACCAAGGCGACCCCAAUAGCCCAUGUUAUGUAUGAAAGACCUGGGUAAGUCCCUUCAUGGGCCAGGCACUAUGCAGAGGGAGUUUUGGUGGUCAUGUCCGUCUGUUAUGUGGAAUGUUUGUGCUGUGACGUAUUUCAUGAAAGCAUGUAAUUAAUGAACUAUUUUCUUUGUUUCUACUCACUGGGCUUUUUAGCUCACCCCUCUCCCCUAACCCCAGUUUUGCAGGACAGUGGUAGGCCAGGAAGACGUCAAGGGUAAAGGUUUUGCUUAUGUAAUAGUUUUAGAUUAGCACUUUUAGUGUGGACAUGUAUUGUAAAUUGAGAUAAUGAAAUGUAAUAUAAUGUAACGUAAAGUAGAGUUAUGUUUAUGGAUUAGAACUGUGCUUGGCCCUAAGACUUGGUUAGUCCCUGUCUAAUACAUGAUGUAUGUAAUAUUUUAGAUGUUGAGUUGUUUGAACUAAACUGGUGGCAUGUGUUGUUUACCACGCUAUGGUUUGAUGAGGACCCUAGUAGAGGUCUUAUGUUUGUGGUUUGAUGCAUGCACAGGUUAGGUUCUAGUUCUUUGGAUGUAAUCCCAGCUUGAUGUAUGUUAUGUUGACCCAGCUAGAGUUUUGUUAAGAGCUCUAGUAUGGGGUUCUUUUAUGUUUCCAGUAUGUUGCAUACAGGUCAAGCUCGAUAUUUACAUCAGAUGUUUAAGUUUUUAUGUUAAAGUUUUGAUCAUGUAGGGGAUUUGACCAGGUAAUAGAAGGUAUGUUUGGCUUACUACGGGUCCCGACGGCCUUAAGCCGAUCUGGAUCCUAGCGCCGAUGGCGGUUCAGGCCGUUACAGAGGGGUAUCGGUUUCUGGGUCAUUACAGAGUGGUAUCAGAGCUUUGGGCCUCAUCAGUACGGUAUGUUGAGCAAAGAUGCUCAAGGAUUAGAGAUAUCCCACAUCGGAAAGAGGUUGGUUUAGAGGUCAUAGGAGGGCAAGCACAAUAGGAGAAUCAUGUCCACUAGGAUAGGAUGUUGAGUCCUGUCUUGAUUGAUGAUGUGUAAUGCCAUGAUGUUAUGCUAUGUAUAUGCAGGUUCAUGUGUUUUCAUAUGAACCGUAUGAUACUAAUGAUUGUUUGUAUGCUUGUGUGUUGUUCUUCAGAGGAGCCAGAAUGCGAGGUGCUCGUCAAUCUGUGAAAUCGACUGGAGUUCCAUCUGAGAGGGAAGGUUUGGACACCUUUCCCCCUGCUCUGCCAAGAGCGCAGUCGUGGGGAGUCAGCAGAUGGGGAACAUCAAAGGACCCUGGAAGGUCUUUUGAUGUAAGCAGAGAAGGAAUGGCUCCAAGACGGAUGUCAGCUAGUAUGAGGGAAGUAGAGUUGGGUGUUCAGAGAAGGGAUGUCAGUUUGGGAAUCAGAGUGCCAGAGGAAGGCAUGGGAGAUUCUCAGGAGGAUGCUCCGACUCAGGAUUCCAGGAUCUCAGGUUCAGGAGGGAUUGAUCCCUCCACUUUGAGUACAGCCUCCACAAAAAGUAAGAAGUGGGGCAGAGGCCUCAGAAGGUCGAAGAAGAAGUUUUGGCAGAAUCUGAAGGCUAGUUUGGGUUUUGGUGGCUCAAGCUCUGGCUCAGGCAGUUCAAGGUGCACGAGGUGCGGAAGGCCGCACAAGGGAGUCUGUCUGAUUGGGACUAAUCUAUGUUUUAGAUGCGGACAGGAGGGGCACAUAGCACGUGAGUGUCCCACUGCGCCCAGGUUGGCUCCGUCCCAGCAAGCAGCUUCAGGUAGAGCAGCUCAGCCAGUAGCUCCAGCCGUGUUUCGGGUUAGUGGUCGAGGCAGAGGAAGAGGGUCAGCCUUUUCUUCUGAAGGUUUCCGUGGAGAAGGUCAGUCAGCUCCAGCUCGGAUCUUCACCCAAGCUCAGCAAGAGGCAGACACAUCGGACAUGGUGGUGUCAGGUACGCUCACUUUUGAAUGUUCUGAUGUGUAUGUUUUUGUGAACCCUAGUGUUUUUCUCUUUCUUUAGUUGCUCUAGGAGCUGUCGAGAGGUUGAGUUGAUAGCUUCUGGGCUAGAGUGUUCUCUUUGGUCAGUGGAACCGAGUGUGAUCCAUCUAUGGCGGAGUCAGUCUGCCGGUUCAGUUCUGUGACAGUUGAGGGUAAAUGCCUUCCACCCGACUUUGAGGUCCUAGACUUGACCGUCUGGACGUCAGUUUAGGAUUGGAUUGGGUUUUUUCUGCUCGUGGCGCUAUCUUGGUCUGUAGAGACAAGGUAGUUAAGUUCAGAGGACAGGAUGGGUCAGAGGUUUUCUUCUGAGGGAACACAGUAGGGAUGCCUAGAGGUUUGAUGUUAGCCUAUCAGGUUCGUAGGGUAUGUAGGAGGGGUUGUCAGAGGGUUCUAGCUCUUGUUUGAGAGUUUAUCAGUCAGGUCCGGGAACCAGCCUCAGUGCUAGUUGUAGAGAGAGGGAGUAGUCAGAGUAAGGGGCGAGACUUGGUAGACAGGGGUUUUAUCCGACCUAGUACCUCACCCUGGAUUGUUCCAGUGUGGUGGUGGGAAAAGGAGGAUGAAUCCUUGACACUUUGUAACGACUGUAAGCAGUUGACCAAGGUCACUACCAAGGGCAGAUAUUCCCAUGCAGAAUGGAUGAUCUAUUGGGACAGCUAGUAGGAGCUGUUUGUUUUUCAAGAUAGAUCUGAAAUCCGGGUACUACCUGUGAGAGUUAGAGUUAGUUUUGGGUUAGCAGUGAGCAGAAGCCUGUUAGUAAAGACGAAGAGAGAAGAGAAAGGAUCAGAGUAGCGCAGCGGAAGCCAGUGGAGUUCAGGAGUAGGUUAGGUACUGCUAAGGUGUUUCUUUUGAUAAUUGUGAUUUCCUAUGGAGAAGUCCAUUUGGAUUUCCGGAUUCCUUUGUUAUGGAAGCUCGUGUCAGAUCCAAGUGAGGUUCUUAAAGAACCAAAGGUGGAGAUCUCAUAGGAUCUCACCUAUGUUGAGCAGUUAGUGCGGAUCAUGGACACAUAAGUUAAGAAUUGAGGAGCAAGGAAAUCCUGAUGGUGAAACGUUUUGGAAAUCACCACUGGUUGAUAGUGAGUGUUUGGGAGACCCGGGAGUUUUACUCCAGCAGUGCCUAUAUCUCUCUUUCAGGAGAGAGAUUUUUAGGUUUUGCUUGCUGGUUUGCUUGCUUGUUUAUGUAUGAUUGAUGCUAUGCUUGAGAAUGCCUGUUUGUUUGUGGAACAUUCGGGGACGAAUGUUCUUAAAGGGGGAAAGAAUGUAAUACCCGGCUAGAUUCCGGCAUCAGAAUCCCUACCUUCCUGCGGAAUCUCCGUUGGAAUCUAGAAUUCUUAAGAUGCCAGAGGCUUCUAGAGGGGUAAAAUGUGUUUUCUAAAAGGUAUUUACUGAUUUCAUGGUUUUAAAAGAAAAAGAAUUGAGUUUUUUUUUUAAAAAAAAGAAAAGACCAAGGAGGCAUUUGCCAGGUUCGGCCGCCGAAAGUGAAGUUCGGCCGCCGAAUAUGGAAAGGCUUCGGGAGCGCCUUUGGCCUCCGAAAGUCUUGUUUGAACGAGCCAAGGUUCGGCCCCCGAAAGUCAAGUUCGGCCGCCGAACAUGCAUGAGUUUAGAGGGCACGUUAGGCUGCCGAAGGUCUCUGACCAGGCCACCUAUAAAGGGCCCUCAAAUCGAAAAUGGGCGAGUUUUCUCCCCAUUCUCGAGCUCAGGUGAGUUUUGUCCUCCCUUGGCCGUUUUCAUGUUUUUCUUCAUCUCCUUCAUGUUUUCAUGAGUUCCAUGGUUAUUUGAAGAGUUUUAAAGCUUAGAUCGAAGUUUUGGGAGCUUGGAGUUUUUGGAGCUUGGAUUCUCCACACCUCCGAGUUAGAGAUCACGCAACCCUCGAUCUUCAAGAGGUAAGUGUAGAUCUUUGCUUUCCUAGUGUCUUUUGAAGUUUUAUGAAGGUUUUAAUGGUAGAGUAUGGGUAGAUAUGCAUGUUAGGAUUUAUGUGGGUUUUAUGCCCAAUGUAUGUUAUGUGAUGCUCAUGUAUGUUUAUAUGAUGCUAUGUUGAAUGUUUAGGCUAGGUUAUGCAUGUGGGAGAGUGUAUGCAUGAGUGGGAAAGAGCAAGUGAGAUUAUGGAUAGUUUUGUUGGUUUUGGCUUAUGUGGGUCAUAAGCCAUUUAAGUAUGCUUUUUGAUGUUCUUUGUUGGAGUUUAAGCUUGUUUAAACUCCUUUGUGCAUGGUUAAGGGUUUAUGCAUGUUUUGAUAAGGUUGGAUGCUUGUUUUGGGGUGUUUGGAAGGUUGGGAGGCUUGAAUGCAUGAGAAGCUGAGUUCUGCCCUUCUGGGAAGAACUCAGGUUCGGCCGCCAAAAGUGGUUUCGGCCGCCGAACCUGCCUUUGGAUGCAUGGAUUGGCCGCCUAACCUUGCCCCCGAAAGUUGAGUUUUGGCUUGAAAGCAGACUUUCGGCCGCCGAAGGAAGGAUUCGGCCGCCGAAAGUGCCUGACUUUCAUCUCUGGAGUGGGACUUUCGGCCGUCGAAGGUGCCGCCGAAAGUGCCCGAGUUUCAUCUCUGGAGGGAGGGUUCGGCCGCCGAAGGUGCCACCGAAAGUGCCCUGUCCAGCCUUUUCAAGGUUUUUUUCUAUGCAUGUUUAAGUGAUGUUUUAGUGGGUUUUUAGGGAGUUGUUUAUGAGUUGUUUAGAGUGUGUUUGGCACCUCAUUCGAGUCCACCUGUGUAGGACCGGACCCGAGGGAUCGAGGAGGCCAUCAGUGUUAGCAGUUGCAGAGUCAGUCUAACGUCUGCCAGAGGUGAGUAGAACUAAACUUAAUCUUUUAUUUUACGAAAUCAAAUGCCUAAAGCAUGUUCACGCAUCAUGUUUUUAUGUAAUAGGUUGAUUGCACUAGUUACACGAAUAUGACGCAUUGCAUUAUUUAUUGUUGAUGUGGAUGGACCAAGGCGACCCCAAUAGCCCAUGUUAUGUAUGAAAGACCUGGGUAAGUCCCUUCGUGGGCCAGGCACUAUGUUAUGUAUGAAAGACCUGGGUAAGUCCCUUCAUGGGCCAGGCACUAUGCAGAGGGAGUUUUGGUGGUCAUGUCCGUCUGUUAUGUGGAAUGUUUGUGCUGUGACGCAUUUCAUGAAAGCAUGUAAUUAAUGAACUGUUUUCUUUGUUUCUACUCACUGGGCUUUUUAGCUCACCCCUCUCCCCUAACCCC
Molecule: long non-coding RNA, 5236 nt
Filed under: Manihot esculenta (cassava)
Lineage: Eukaryota; Viridiplantae; Streptophyta; Magnoliopsida; Malpighiales; Euphorbiaceae
Description: long non-coding RNA (MESC_LNC011159)
Source: RNAcentral